Molecule: signal recognition particle RNA, 309 nt
Filed under: Brassica carinata (Ethiopian mustard)
Lineage: Eukaryota; Viridiplantae; Streptophyta; Magnoliopsida; Brassicales; Brassicaceae
Also listed under: 1 other name
Description: Plant signal recognition particle RNA
Rfam family: Plant signal recognition particle RNA
Source: Rfam by way of RNAcentral
GUCGAGCUUGGUAACGUGGGCUUGUGAUCCAAGUGGAGACAACAAGAUGUUGGAAUCUUGGGCCGAUCUCAUUAGGCCGGGUUUGGGGUGGCUAUUUACUGGCCUGCCCAUUCCAAGUCGGGAGUUGAGGGUUAGGGCUCGAGCGAAGGCUUGUGGUUCGGACACUCUUAGAGCGGAGGAGACUGCGUGAGGCUGGUUUCACAGAGCAGCGUCCACCUCCCGCUUUCGACGGUGGAAGGAUUACGGGCCGGUGCCUUCUGAGCCCACUAUGACCUAAUAAGCUGGUUUCAACUGGGACCAACAAUCUUU